This 5543-nucleotide long non-coding RNA is filed under the name Salmo salar (Atlantic salmon). Its description in RNAcentral is "lncRNA (ENSSSAG00000099877.1)". The record is from RNAcentral. Lineage: Eukaryota; Metazoa; Chordata; Actinopteri; Salmoniformes; Salmonidae.
ACACACACACACACACACACACACACACACACACACACACACACACACACACACAUAAACCUCUCCUAACAGGAGAGGGGGGUUUGUUCCCAUCUCUGCUAGCCAAUUCCCUGAACGGGCUAGUGUCAUGACACCGCCCAACCCUAGGGUGAGUCCUACAUUCACUUGUGAUGCAGGAAAAAGAAGUGCACAGCUAUUGAGCGCUGGCCUUGCAAUGUCAUUUUUUUUAACCAGAUGUACAAAAAUUACACUUUGAUCUAAUGUCUUCGUGGUUAAAGUACCUGUAGAAUACCUGUUUUAAACCAUGAAGAACUGCAUGAAGAACCUGUUUCGUGGACAUAUUGGCAGGUUGUUUCUUGGUAGCACACACAGCUUGUUGGACUCUCAGGCGAAGCAGCGCUGGCUCCCUCCUUGUAGAUCAGUAGAUUAUCUUUUUAUAGAAUACUUCAACAGAGCAGACUGAUUCAGGGUCAAGCCUUUACAUUGUUACGUACCAUAAUUACAUACCAAGCACCAACAUGCAUUACUGGGAUGGGGCAUCAUUUUUAUGUGUCUCUGCCAUGAGGUUAACCUUUGUUAACCACUGUACCUGUAACUUUGUGCCUUAGCAUAAGUAAGACUUUAGCCCAAACAUUCUCAACUAUAAGCAAGUCAUAACCAUUUCAUGGUGGGAGGUUGCAGGAAACGAUCUGAUGGUAGUGAUAUAAGGCCUCUGAAUGGGCAGCAAGUUAGGUUGUGUUGUAAGACAGAACGGUUGUAGCUAUUACUGUCCCUCCACCUUUUUCACGUGCAUGCUUUGAUUUAAACAAUAUUCGAGUGAUAGUCUAUUUUAAAACGCUCACUCACUCACUCACUCACUCAUUCACAAAGACAUUACGCCUAACGUGGUCCCUGCAAAUUAAUUUUGAAUACCCUUUCCCAGAUUUGUGCCUCGACACAAUCCUGUCUCUGAGCUCUACGGAAAAUUCCUUCGACCCCAUGGCUUGUUUUUUUUCUCUGACAUGCACUGUCAACUGUGGAACCUUAUAAAGACAGGUGCGUGCCUUUCCAAAUCAUGUCCAAUCAAUUGAAUUCACCACAGGUGGACUCCAAGUUGUAGAAACAUCUCGAUGAAUGGAAAUGCGCCUGAGCUCAAUUUCGAGUCUCAUAGCAAAGUGUCUCAAUACUUAUGUAAAUUUCAGUUUUUUAUUUUUAAUACAUUUGCAAACAUUUCUAAAAACCUGUUUUCUCUUUGUCCAUUAUGAGGUAUUGUGUAUAGAUUUUAGGGGGAAAAAUUUUAACCAAUUUUAGAAUGAGGCUGUAAACAAAAUGUGGAAAAAGUCAAGGGGUCUGAAUACUUUCUGAAGGCACUGUACCUUUUAUUAAUAUUUGCCCUGAUGUUAUUAGCCUACCCCUUUCUCUUACCUCCUGUUGCUUCAUUCCUUCCUCGCUUUCAACAGUUAAGCUAAAUUAAAUGAUUUUCGUUGUCUUUAUGUUCAUCAUUCUAAUGACAUGCUUGAAUAAUAUAGGACUAGAAUUAGAUGCAGAUGGCUUUCCCUUCACGAAGAUCUGAAUGGUUAUGAGUCUGACUAAACUGCUACAGCCCUCCGCAAUCGUGCGUUCGCUCUUCUUUCAAACUAAACAUCAGUUCUGUUGACUGUUGUAUUUAACAUUCAGCAAACAAGCUUGCGUCCAUCUUCAAAUAGUCUAUUCGUAUAAAACAUUUUAAAAAUAUAAAAUGUCCAGCAAGCUAUUCUAGUCUAGCUUUUCCUGCCUGGGACUCCAAGACCUAAGGAGCGUUUUUUAACGAGAGGCCAGCGGAGCACAGGCACAUGCGUAUUGCAAAAGAGACAGAGGCUAUAAGUUAGAAGCUUAUUAUUCAUUAGCUAAAUGUAAUGCUAAUGCUGAAUUGAAUGUAUUACCUGAAAGAGGUAGGCUAGGAUGUCUUGAACAGGAUUAUCUAUUUUCAUGCAAUUUGAAGGGAAUUGAUGGGAGUCUGCUCGCGCAUGCUCUGAUUUAAAGCAACAAUAUUCGAGUGAUGGGCUGUUUUUAAAACUGCAGCUGCAAUAAAAAAAAUCUUUACAAUUCAAAAAUCCGCUGACCCCCGAAAGCCAGAUGGAGAUGUGUAAAUUAGAGGUGCAUUCGGUUCUUAUAUUACUGUAGCAGUAUUCUAUGCUGCAGCAAAUGUAAGCAUACCUGUCACAAGUAAAAAAAAAAAGUUACCAUGAUGGGUCUACAUGCAGUGUGAACUGCAUACAUAUCGAGAUGGUCUGUCCACACCAUGAGCAUUUAUGAUUGAUCAUGCAGAGAGAAGGCCGUAGAGAAGCCAGGUUUAGAUAUUGCAUAUUAACAGUAUAACGUCAUGCUGUUAAUUAAUUUUUUUUAUAAUUUUCUGGUUUUUCGCAGUUAUUUAACCCAGGAAAAGGGAGUGGUUUUGGGUGGUUAAUCUUGGUAACCAGGUUCCCGCCAUUCAACCCUAACCUGCACCCACACUUUUUCACCUCUCCCUUGACAAUCCACCAUCUCUCCCUUGACACGCAUGCACCCAUACCAUUCCUGUGCUUGUCCUUCAUUCUCCCUGAAAAAGGUCCCUGUUACAGCAGAUCUGCUCGAGUUGGCGACACUAAAAAUAAGUUGCAAACGUGCUCCCGCUCUGUUUCCAAGGUUUAAUAUUGUCCCCCCGGCUAUGACACUGUCACACUGAGCUGUAGCUAGAGUUGUGUGUGUGUGUGUGUGUGUGUGUUUGUUUUAGUCUAGAUGGACUGUAAAUGAGCAUGUCUUUAACUCUCUUUUCCCAAAUUAAUAUUUAGUUACCACACACCACAAUGUGUUCAUUGCUAAUUGGUUUUAUUAACUAGCUUAGAAUUCAGAUUUGGGUGUAAAUCUGAAGCGGAAAAAUGCAGUGUGUUUGCGUGUCAUAGUGAUUCCAUUACCCUUCUCCUCACUCCAAAUCCUCUAAAUAUGUAAGUGUUGUUUUAUGUGGAAAUGCUCUCCCCUCCCAGCUGUGUGUGACUGACUGUGUGUUGUGCUCUCUCUGGACGGAGGGACUGAGCCGAGAGGGCAUCUCCAGCGAGGCCUGAAACCUCUCCCCACAGACCUACCUACUGCUGCUGAAGACCACCACCUCCCAUCACCAAUGACCUUCUACAGUGAACCGUUGACUGUUGCGCCUCAGACCUUGUAAUGGAAAAUCGUGGUAAGUUUGGCUUCUUGUUCAUUGUGGUUUGUGUAGUAGUGCAAUAUAGACCUGGGUGUGUUUAUGGGGCAGUUUGUUUUUGCUGCUACUCGGCGCACAGCAGACAGCUCAGUUCUCUAUGGCGCCCUCUGUAGGAAAGGGAGACAGGCUCCCUCCCUUUCUUGUUAGCACCAGUCUGUGUGUUGAGCUUCAGUUCCGUCUGCCUGCUGAAGAGGCCUGGCCCAGUCUGUUUUCCAGGUCGACAGGUUCCGGGCUCAUGCGGAUUGGCCCAGCUCUCUGUCUCCCGCUCUCUGGAAGCCAGCCCAGUUUGGAUUUAUGUGGGGCAGUGAGAAAAGGCCGUACAACUACAGACUCCAUCUUCAGAAGCAGAGAAAGGGAACGGGAAAAGGGUCAUACCUAGUCAGUUGUAAAACUGAAAUGUGUCUUCCGCAUUUAACCCAAACCCUCUGAAUCAGAGAGGUGCGGAGGGCUGCCUUAAUAAUCAUCCACUUCAUCAGUGCCUGGGGAACAGUGGGGUUAACUGCCUUGUUCAGGUGCAGAACGACAGACUUUUUUUACCUUGUCGGCUCUGGGAUUCGAUCCAGCAACCUUUCGGUUACUGGCCAAAUGCUCCUACCCGAGAGAGACAGCCCAAGAAGGUCAGAGACCUCAUCUGUUCAAAUCAGCAAGUACUUUAGCUGUGCUUGAUUGAGCAUGCCUAGCACAAUGGAACCAAUAUAAUAGUCCCCAAAGUGCAAACCUCGCCCACCUGGCACUCCAGACAGGCUCAAUCAAACGCUCAAAGUAUUUGAAGGAAAACAACUAUUUAAACCCAGGAGCCUGUUCAGGAUAGAACUUUCAGAUAGGAAUGUAUCGUGUAGAACAGAUAUGAUUGUCUGUCAGAUCAUGCCAGCUCUAUUCACUCUAUUCCUACAGCAGAUCUGCUCGAGUUGGCGACACUAAAAAUAAGUUGCAAACGUGCUCCCGCUCUGUUUCCAAGGUUUAAUAUUGUCCCCCCGGCUAUGACACUGUCACACUGAGCUGUAGCUAGAGUUGUGUGUGUGUGUGUGUUUGUUUUAGUCUAGAUGGACUGUAAAUGAGCAUGUCUUUAACUCUCUUUUCCCAAAUUAAUAUUUAGUUACCACACACCACAAUGUGUUCAUUGCUAAUUGGUUUAUUAACUAGCUUAGAAUUCAUGCCAGCUCUAUUCACUCUAUUCCUAUCUGUGACUUCCAGAACGUUUCACAUCACUGAAUACACCCCACGACGGUUCAGUGCCCUGUGUUGUCAUGUUGCAUGUGACCCCAGGUAGUGGGUUUAAACAUGCUCUUCGUUCUAAUCAAAACAGCCUGGCUGGAUCUGCCAAUCUCUCUCUCCACGCUCUCCUAUGAGAAGGAGUCGUUUGUGUUGGUCCCUUCACUCUCCCUUCUUCUCCCGCUGUCUCUGUAUCUUGCCCAAACAGUUUGUUGUUCCACCUCAAAAAGCACAAGACAGAGGAUUUCGACACCCACCAUUUUGUCGAAAUAUAAUUGAAUCUCUGAGACAUUAAGCUGAUUGAUCGCACCCAAAUUGGCCAUUUUAAAUUAGAGGAUUCAUAUAAUAUUCAAUAAAUAUAGUACAUAACAUCCAAUUUGGACCCCGACAAAAAUCUUACAAUGAGAAACAUUCCGACGGACCCCCCCACGCCAAUCCAUAACAAAUGUCUAUGUUUGACAAGUAUACUGAACAAAAAUUAUUUUGAGUAAAGUCAUUGAAAUUGUUGCGUUUAUAAGGAAAUCGGUCAAUUUAAAUAAUCUCAUAAGGCCCUAAUUUAUGGAUUUCACAAGACUGGGUAGGGGUACAGUCGUGGGUGGGUCAUGGGUGCCACCCCCCCACCACUGGGGAGCCACGCCCAGCCAAUCAGAAUGAGUUUUUCCUCACAAAAGGGCUUUAUUACAGACAGAAAUACGCCUCAGUUUCAUCAGCUGUCCGGUUGGCUGGUCUCAGACGAUCCCACAGGUAAAGAAGCCGAUUGUGGAGGUCCUGGGCUGGUGUGGUUAGACGUGGUUUGCGGUUUUGAUGCCGGUUGGACGUGCUGCCAAAUUCUUUAAAAUGACCUUGGGAGGCGGCUUAUUGUAGAGAAAUUAACAUUAAAUUCUCUGGCAAUGUUACCGGCCUCAGUCUAGCUGAGGUGGCCUGUAAUAGUAAAAAUAACGGACACAAGUUUACGUCUGCAAAGUUCUGGUGUUUUCUUUAUUCUGAAGAAUGUUUUUUUUUCUCUUGUUCAAUUGUCUAUUUUCUUCUUCGUACUUUUAAAACAUUAACAUCAAACAAGUGCACACUUUAAAAUACACUGCAUAAAUGCACUUUACCUAAAGCAGAAUUCGAAAAUGUUCCACAAAUAACCCCG